ACUCAAAUGAAUUGACGGGGACCCGCACAAGCGGUGGAGCGUGUUGUUUAAUUCGACGGUAAGCGAAGAACCUUACCAAGGUUUGACAUCCUACUAACUGCUUCGAAAGAAGCGGGUGUCUUCGGACAGGUAGUGACAGGUGCUGCAUGGCCGUCGUCAGCUCGUGUCGUGAGAUGUUUGGUUAAGUCCAUCAACGAGCGCAACCCUUAUAAGUAGUUGAAUUUUUCUACUCAGACUGCCCUGGCAACAGGGAGGAAGGAGGGGAUGAUGUCAGGUCAGUAUUGCCCUUACACCUUGGGCUACAAACACGCUACAAUGGCCAGUACAAAGGGCAGCCAACCCGCGAGGGGGAGCAAAUCCCAUCAAAGCUGGUCUCAGUUCGGAUUGCAGGCUGAAACUCGCCUGCAUGAAGCUGGAAUCGCUAGUAAACGUAGGUCAGCACACUACGUUGAAUACGUUCCCGGGUCUUGUACACACCGCCCGU
RNAcentral lists this ribosomal RNA (484 nucleotides) under uncultured bacterium. RNAcentral's name for it is "partial 16S ribosomal RNA". It matches the Rfam family "Bacterial small subunit ribosomal RNA", at positions 899 to 1397 of the family's 1533-position model. The record is from RNAcentral.